AUGAUCGCCUUAGCCUGGAACUGCCGAGGAUUGGGGUUGGACUCGGCAGUGGGCGAACUACGAGACCUGAUUAGGUCAUACAACCCAGCGGUGGUGUUUUUAUCAGAAACAAAGAAGAGGUCAGGGGCGAUGGAGAGGCUCAAGUGGAGCAUGGGAUUCAGACAAGGGGUAGCGGUGGAUUGCAAAGGUAAAAGUGGGGGACUAGCACUAUGGUGGAGAGAUCACGUUGAUGUAACCGUGAGGCCGUGGUGCCAAUAUUAUAUAGAUGCUAAGAUCGUGUAUGAGGGAGUACCGUUUAGAUUCACUGGAAUCUACGGGGAACCUAGAGUUGAAAAGAGAACCAAGACUUGGGAUGUACUUCGGUACCUCCGAGCACAAGAUGAUCUGCCGUGGCUCUGCGCGGGGGACUUUAAUCGACAAAAUGAACAGCAGGGUGGUAACCCUAGGUCUCUAAACCAGAUGGCACUUUUCGAGGAAUACUUGUCUGACUACGGACUAGCUGAUUUGGGAUUCUCAAGAUACCCCUUUACUUGGGAUAAUAAACGGGAUGCGAACGACAAUAUCCAAGUUCAGCUAGACCGGGCGACAUGCAAUGCGGAAUUUGCGCAGAUUUUCCCAGCGGUCGAAGUGCAACAUAUUAUGACGGAGGAGUCGGAUCACCAAGCGCUACUUAUCAAAGCACUGACAACUCAUGGUGAGAAGAGGAGCUAG
Molecule: ribosomal RNA, 711 nt
Filed under: Triticum aestivum (bread wheat)
Lineage: Eukaryota; Viridiplantae; Streptophyta; Magnoliopsida; Poales; Poaceae
Description: partial small subunit ribosomal RNA
Source: RNAcentral